RNAcentral lists this ribosomal RNA (484 nucleotides) under uncultured bacterium. RNAcentral describes it as "partial 16S ribosomal RNA". It matches the Rfam family "Bacterial small subunit ribosomal RNA", at positions 30 to 507 of the family's 1533-position model. The record is from RNAcentral.
AUUGAACGCUGGCGGCAGGCCUAACACAUGCAAGUCGAGCGGAUGAAGGGAGCUUGCUCCUGGAUUCAGCGGCGGACGGGUGAGUAAUGCCUAGGAAUCUGCCUGGUAGUGGGGGAUAACGUCCGGAAACGGGCGCUAAUACCGCAUACGUCCUGAGGGAGAAAGUGGGGGAUCUUCGGACCUCACGCUGUCAGAUGAGCCUAGGUCGGAUUAGCUAGUGGGUGGGGUAAAGGCCUACCAAGGCGACGAUCCGUAACUGGUCUGAGAGGAUGAUCAGUCACACUGGAACUGAGACACGGUCCAGACUCCUACGGGAGGCAGCAGUGGGGAAUAUUGGACAAUGGGCGAAAGCCUGAGCCAGCCAUGCCGCGUGUGUGAAGAAGGUCUUCGGAUUGGAAAGCACUUUAAGUUGGGAGGAAGGGCAGUAAGUUAAUACCGUGCUGUUUUGACGUUACCAACAGAAUAAGCACCGGCUAACUUCGUG